This is a small nucleolar RNA of Phyllostomus discolor (pale spear-nosed bat), 132 nucleotides long. RefSeq annotates it as small nucleolar RNA SNORA33. NCBI's taxonomy places the organism in Eukaryota, Metazoa, Chordata, Mammalia, Chiroptera, Phyllostomidae. The record is from RefSeq and is a predicted model, not a curated record. The transcript has a single exon.
AUACUAAUUGUGAGUCUGCUUACCUGAAUGUGUUUCUCUCUGCAGAAAUUUAGAGAAAGCUGGCAAUGGUAAAGCCAUGUUGUGAGCCUUAAUGACUUGAAGUCAUUAAGGUCCCUGAAAAUGGCUAUAACG